UAAAAAGCUCGUAGUUGAAUUUCGGGGUUCUACCGUUGGUCGGGCAAUAGUCUGUACUGGCGUGUAGAAUUUCUACCUUCUGGGGAACNAUCAUGUUAUUUAUUUAGCGUGGUNGGAAACCAGGACCUUUACCUUGAAAAAAUUAGAGUGUUCAAAGCAGGCUUACGUCUGAAUACAUUAGCAUGGAAUAAUAAAAUAGGACGGNGGUCCUGUUUUGUUGGUUUCUGAAUCACCGUAAUGAUUAAUAGGGAUAGUUGGGGGCAUUANUAUUCAAUUGNCAGANGUGAAAUUCUUGGAUUUAUUGAANACUAACUUCUGCGAAAGCAUUUGCCAAGGAUGUUUUCAUUAAUCAAGAACGAAAGUUAGGGGAUCGAAGACGAUCANAUACCGUCGUAGUCUUAACCAUAAACUAUGCCNACUAGGGAUCGGACGAUGUUAAUUUUUCUUGACUCGUUCGGCGCCUUACGGGAAACAACC
RNAcentral lists this ribosomal RNA (477 nucleotides) under Gigaspora decipiens. RNAcentral's name for it is "SSU rRNA". It matches the Rfam family "Eukaryotic small subunit ribosomal RNA", at positions 620 to 1101 of the family's 1831-position model. Lineage: Eukaryota; Fungi; Glomeromycota; Glomeromycetes; Diversisporales; Gigasporaceae. The record is from RNAcentral.